CCUACGGGUGGCAGCAGUGAGGAAUAUUGGUCAAUGGGCGGAAGCCUGAACCAGCCAAGUAGCGUGCGGGAUGAAGGCCCUACGGGUCGUAACCCGCUUUUGCACGGGGAUAACACCCUCCACUUGUGGAGGUCUGCAGGUAUCGUGCGAAUAAGGGCCGGCUAAUUCCGUGCCAGCAGCCGCGGUAAUACGGAAGCCCAGAGCGUUAUCCGGAUUCAUGGGGGUUAAAGGGAGCGUAGGCGGGCGUUCAAGUUAGCGGUAAAAUCGGGCGGCUAAACCGCGCCCCGCAGUUGAAACUGGACGCCUUGAGUUCACGACAGGCAGGCGGAAUUCGUGGUGUAGCGGUGAAAUGCAUAGAUAUCACGAGGAACCCCGAUUGCGAAGGCAGCCUGCCGGAGUGCGACUGACGCUGAGGCUCGAAGGUGCGGGUAUCAAACAGGAUUAGAUACCCCUGUAGUC
This 459-nucleotide ribosomal RNA is filed under the name uncultured bacterium. Its description in RNAcentral is "partial 16S ribosomal RNA". It matches the Rfam family "Bacterial small subunit ribosomal RNA", at positions 338 to 795 of the family's 1533-position model. The record is from RNAcentral.